This 512-nucleotide ribosomal RNA is filed under the name uncultured bacterium. RNAcentral's name for it is "bacterial SSU rRNA". It matches the Rfam family "Bacterial small subunit ribosomal RNA", at positions 8 to 526 of the family's 1533-position model. The record is from RNAcentral.
AGAGUUUGAUCCUGGCUCAGAAUCAACGCUGGCGGCGUGCCUAACACAUGCAAGUCGAACGCGACUUAGGCUUCGGUCUAAGUUGAGUGGCGAACGGGUGAGUAACACGUGGGUGACCUACCUUCGAGUGGGGGAUAACGUCCCGAAAGGGACGCUAAUACCGCAUAACAUCCUGCCUUUGAACAGGUGGAGAUCAAAGCCGGGGAUCGCAAGACCUGGCGCUUGAUGAGGGGCCCGCGCCUGAUUAGCUAGUUGGUGGGGUAAUGGCUCACCAAGGCGACGAUCAGCAUCCGGCCUGAGAGGGCGGACGGACACACUGGGACUGAGACACGGCCCAGACUCCUACGGGAGGCAGCAGUGGGGAAUUUUGCACAAUGGGCGAAAGCCUGAUGCAGCAACGCCGCGUGAGGGAUGAAGGCCCUCGGGUUGUAAACCUCUUUUAUCAGGGACGAUGAUGACGGUACCUGAUGAAUAAGCCACGGCUAACUACGUGCCAGCAGCGGCGGUAAUUC